This is a non-coding RNA of Benincasa hispida (wax gourd), 3328 nucleotides long. The record is from RefSeq and is a predicted model, not a curated record. Lineage: Eukaryota; Viridiplantae; Streptophyta; Magnoliopsida; Cucurbitales; Cucurbitaceae.
CGUACCAAUACCAGGCUUGGAGAAGCAACUCCAAAUCUUCUUCUUCGGUCUCUUUUCUCCCUACAUUCUUAGUCUCGCCUUUUCAAUCCAAACUGAUACCGAUAACUUCGGUUUCAAAUCCAAGAAGCAAAGAGGAAAAAUGGUCGGAGCCUCCCACAGUUCCGGCGGUAUCGCCGCCAGAUCUGACCGAACUGCAACCAUCAAGUUUCUCUGCAGUUAUGGAGGCAAGAUCCUUCCUCGUUAUCCUGAUGGCAAACUCCGUUAUAUUGGUGGUGAAACUCGCGUUCUCGCCGUCGAUCGUUCCAUUCCUUUCUCUGAACUGUUGUUGAAGCUGGGACAAUUGUGUGGAACUUGUGUGAGUCUUCGUUGUCAAUUGCCUUCUGAGGAUCUGGAUGCUUUGGUAUCGAUAACCUCCGAUGAGGACCUCGCAAAUCUCAUCGAAGAAUACGAUCGAGUAGCCUCGCCGCCGUCUUCUUUGAAGAUCAGAGCGUUCCUUUCACUGCCUAAAUCCGUGAAAAAAUCUCCUCUCUCUUGUUCGUCGGCCUCUUCAUCAUCGUCGUCCUCAAAACCUUCGUCUCCGACAACUGCUAUAUCCUCCCCAAGGAUCUCAACGCAGGUGCCUGACUAUCGUGUCCAUCAGAUCCCAACGCCAGUGAGGUUUUCGUACCGCUGGAAGAAGUCUCAGUCGAAGAUUCCUCACUGCUCAUAUCAUCUUCAAGGGAACCCUAGCCACAUCUACCUCAUCCACAAUGGCAAUCACUGGCAAUAACACCAACUAGAAUGAGGGAAAUCAAAGCAAACAUAAAUAUAAGAUAUAACGAAAUAGAAAAAGGAAAUUCCAAGCACCAAAAAGGAUGUAUGAUCCGUAGCUAUUGUGAUGGAUAUAACAGAUGAUUGCAUUGGAUCAAACUCAACCUUGAAAACGACAAGGAACUACGACUGUGCUUCAGCAAUUGUUUGUACAUGUGAAGAAAAUCUACUAUUGUCAGAACCAGAGAUCUCUGAGACCCGUUUGCUCUGUUUUCUGUACCAAGAGUUUCUUUCACAAUCACAGGUGCAAUAUAAAUAUUUAUCAUGCUCUCCACAGUCGUGCCCAUCAAACUGUCUUCUUCUACUCGAGUAGAUUCCCUACGUCUAGGAGCGGAUGAAUGAGUAAUAGGUAUGAUGUACAUAUAAUGUAUCUAGUUACUGUUGCUCGAUCUUUGUGAAUUAUAAAACGAUUAGACGGUAUUUAAAAUAAAUUUAAAUUCAAAACUUUUUCAGAUAGGUUGAUGUCAUGCAGUAGGGGUUCAGUAUUACAAGGCGAUGAGAUAUCCUAUUGGAGAUUAAAUUGUCUCAUUUACUUGUCAGGAAAAUACCACUCACCAAUGUGAAAAUAAGUCCACCAUAUGUUUUGACCGUUUGUACAAAAAUUGAGCUUUGUAAGGCUCCAAAUAAUUUGAAACAUAAAAUAUUAUAUUAAAAAAUAAUAAAGACAAAUACAUUAAAAAUAUGUAUACAAAAUUCAAUUUGGUUCAGUAUUAGUCUACCUGAUUAGGUUGAAGCAGAUUGAAUAUGAUCCACCCCAAGAAUACGGUCAUGCUCCACUCCAAGAAUAUCAUCAUGCAUCAUAGAGGUUGGCUAAUAAUGACAGAAAACAGACUUCCUCAUCUGCAUCAUCCCAUGAAAUUGUGUUUCUAACCAAACUUAACCUCAAUCCUUUAAUUUUAUCAACGAGUGGGGUCACAUGGGAUCAUAGUUCACAAAUAUUUAGCCAGUCAUCAUGCAUUACUCUGGUAACUGGCUUGCCAUCAAUAAGUAACCUGAACAACAUUUCUAUGUCAUGUAGAGUGAUAGCUCACUUUUUAGUGAGCACAUGAAAUGUAUACAUCUCAGGCUUCUAUCUCUCAAUCUGUGUUGUGCUGAUAUGCCAAUCUAGCCAAAUGAAUCAGAAUGGUUGUAUUAUAGGGUGGAGAGGGAUAGUGCAAUGAACAAUCGCCUCUUGAUUUGCCAGUGGUACGAUCUUUCCAUACAACUGGUGAUCGAUGAAUCGAUUGCUUAUACAAAACAUCGGGACCAAUCGGUCUUGGAUUUAAAGUCAUGAUCUAAAAAACAAACUAUUAUUUCAACUGUUCAAUCCAUCUCAUUAUGGUGUCGCGAACUCUUUGGUAAGGGGGUUAGCAUGUAAGACAGACAUAUUAGGGUGCGUAAUCCAGUACAAGUUUAAAUUGUACAAGUUUAAAUUGAGGAGAGUAGCAUGUAGCGUAUGUUGAUAAUUUAUAAUAGUCUUUAAUAAAAUCUUCGUCAUUGAGUAAACCGUCAUAAAAUGCGAGUAUGGAAGUCAAAUGCUUGCAACUUGUUACAUGAAUAGUAUUGUUCAGACUCAUUUAUUAAUUUUUUCAUGUGUACCUGAAUAUUUACUUAUUUGAUAUUACAAAUAUAUUUGAAGCAAAUUGUUGAUUAUUAAAAAAAAUAUUAUCGGGUGUAUUUAUCUCGACACUCAAAAGCAACUCUCUAUUUCUUUCUUUUUUUUUUUUUCAAAAUAAUUUAUACACUUGAAGAAUCUUAUUUGAACAAGAGUAUUUAUCGGCAACAUCCUUUAAGGACUCAAUUUAUGCAGAUAGGUUUGUCGUCAUUUACCCAUACCUGAAUCUUCCAUUGUGUGCUUGAAUCCAUUGCUCAAUACCAAUUUGUUAAAAAAACUCAGAUAGUUUUGAUUUAUUCUUUUGAUGUCCUCAAUGACUUUAUUAAACUUUCGAAUUUGGAAUUGACAUUUGACAUGAUAAACAUAAUUCUUUAAUGUGUUGAAUUUGCAUUUUUUUUGUUGAAGUUGCUAACAAUAUAUUGUAAGCAGAAUCAAUGGUGACAUUUUGGUCUUGUCCAAUCAUUUGCUGGAUUGUUCACUAUUGAGAUAAUGCCAGCAUGUCGAUUCGAAAUUAAAGGUGUAAAAUGUUUUAAGAAUCAUUCCCAUGAGUUUGCAGACUCCUCAUUUACAAUGGCGAAUGCAAGAGAAAGAAGAUGUUCGUUUGGAUCUACUGAUUGCUACAUCAGUAAGUUUCUAUACAAGUGGGUACUGUCUAUUUGAAUUACCGAUUGACAUCUAUUGAAAGCUUCUAUAUUAGGACCAAAUGCCUAAAAUGCAGAAGUAAAGAUGACACGUCUUUCAGUUGACGUUUCCUUCUCUCUCCACUCCAUACAUGUUCUCGGAUUAAUCUGCUUAACCAUAUAAAGCCACCUAGACAACAAUUUGUAUGACUCACCCCAGUCACUGAACAUUUUAGCCAAUAUCUUUCUUUGUCCUCCCACACCUUAUGGUAAGGAACAUGAAAUCCAAAUUUUAUUUUUAUCU